This 292-nucleotide ribosomal RNA is filed under the name Lactobacillus delbrueckii. RNAcentral describes it as "partial 23S ribosomal RNA". It matches the Rfam family "Bacterial large subunit ribosomal RNA", at positions 393 to 687 of the family's 2925-position model. RNAcentral also lists the same sequence under 1 other name. The record is from RNAcentral. Lineage: Bacteria; Bacillati; Bacillota; Bacilli; Lactobacillales; Lactobacillaceae.
AGGCCUAUCAGUAUCCUGAGUAGGGCGGGACACGUGAAAUCCCGUUUGAAUCCGCGAGGACCAUCUCGCAAGGCUAAAUACUAACCAGUGACCGAUAGUGAACCAGUACCGUGAGGGAAAGGUGAAAAGAACCCCGGGAGGGGAGUGAAAGAGAACCUGAAACCGUGUGCCUACAAGUAGUCAGAGCCCGUUAACGGGUAAUGGCGUGCCUUUUGUAGAAUGAACCGGCGAGUUGCGUUAGUCAGCAAGGUUAAGUCAGAAAAGACGGAGCCGUAGCGAAAGCGAGUCUGAA